CCGGUUUUACCGCCACUUGGUCUCUUCUAUUUCAUUUAUGCCACUGAUCCCUUUUGACAUCUGUGGUUCUCUUCGUUUCUGCUCUGCCGCAAUUAAAUUUACUCUCAUCCCUAGAAUCCAAAACUCCCUCAUACGUCGCUCCUCUCCAUGCCCGUCCCUUGCUUUUCAUCCUGGCCUCUACUGCAAUCACGCCGCUUUCCCUGCUUCCGACAUCGUCCUGUUUAUUGGAACCCAUCUACUAAAAUGUCUAGAUUUCUUAAUGGACUUAAGGAAAAAGAUGGUAACUUGGUUUAUCCAUCCCUCCAAAUUUGAGAUUAUGUAUUGUAUUGAGAUUUUUAGUGUCCAAUCUAAAAAACCCAGCAAAAAUCUUUGCUUUUUGGUAAAAUUUGGUGGUUCGCUGGAAAAGAAUCAAGGGUGCUAGAAAAAGAUUGGUGGUGAGGUUAUAAGAAUAUACAUAUUGUUAAACGUGUAAAAAAAAUUCAUAUUAUGUUUGGAAUUUUGAGCAAUUGGUUGUGUUCAAUUACUAUAUGAAAUUCAGAAAUGCAAUUCGGAAUUUCAAUUGAGGUCGGGAUCUGAUUGUAGAAUUUGGGUCAUGUUUGGUUGUGCUGAAUCGGGUUUGAUGGAGAAUUUUUAAUCAUGAUCAGAAUCAUGGGUUUUGUUUAAAAAUGAAAUUGGAUUCAAUUAUAUAAUACUUUUAGAGAAUGAAAAUCUUAUAUAAUGUUUUUAGAGAAUGAAAACGAGAAAGUGGUGAUGGACACAAAAUAGUUGCCGAUCAAUUAUGCUUCAACCUUGGAAUGUGGGGUACAAACAUUAUGAAAGUGUCAUAAGAGAAGCAC
RNA transcript from Pyrus x bretschneideri (Chinese white pear), 836 nucleotides. RefSeq lists it as uncharacterized. Lineage: Eukaryota; Viridiplantae; Streptophyta; Magnoliopsida; Rosales; Rosaceae. The transcript has 2 exons. The record is from RefSeq and is a predicted model, not a curated record.